UACGGAGGAUCCAAGCGUUAUCCGGAUUUAUUGGGUUUAAAGGGUGCGUAGGCGGCCAGUUAAGUCAGGGGUGAAAGACGGUAGCUCAACUAUCGCAGUGCCUUUGCUACUGAUUGGCUUGAAUGUACUUGAGGUAGGCGGAAUGUGACAAGUAGCGGUGAAAUGCAUAGAGAUGGCACAGAACACCAAUUGCGAAGGCAGCUUACGAAAGUAUGAUUGACGCUGAGGCACGAAAGCGUGGGGAUCAAACAGG
Molecule: ribosomal RNA, 253 nt
Filed under: uncultured bacterium
Lineage: Bacteria
Description: partial 16S ribosomal RNA
Rfam family: Bacterial small subunit ribosomal RNA
Source: RNAcentral